Molecule: long non-coding RNA, 745 nt
Organism: Dendrobium catenatum
Lineage: Eukaryota; Viridiplantae; Streptophyta; Magnoliopsida; Asparagales; Orchidaceae
Exons: 2
Source: RefSeq, a predicted model, not a curated record
UUAGGGGCAAAUCUAAAAUAAGCAGAACAGGUAAUCGUGGGUCAAGCACCUGCUUCGAUUUUGCAGAUCUUUCUCUCACAUCGAGGUCGCAUCAAGCGCGCUGCUCGUGUCUCUGCGGUUCUUCCGCUUCCCACAACAGCGACCCCUUCGUCUAAUCCUUGGAGGGAAAUCGAAUUAACAAAAUCGAACUACGGUGGAGAGGAGACCAAAGGAAAAGCGCUUACUUUGUCGAUUGGUUUGCGUCUUCUCUUCUUCUAAUUUUGCUCAUCUUUCCUGAUCGCCUUCUUGCUUAGCUGAUAUCGGCGAAGGAGCCGCGCAUCUUUUCAUCAUGUCCAACUCUUUUUUCAUGAAAAUAUUGUUUGCUAUUGCUGUCUGGUGCAUAGCAUAUGUUGCUGCUGCCUUUGUGGUCUUAUUUAGAUUCUUCGCUGGCCAUGGUUCUACCAUCAUGAACUAGUCGAGCAAUCUGAGCGAGAACCGCAGUACUUUGGUGACUUGCAAAUUGCAAUGGCAAGGUGAUACUUUUUUUUCUUCAUGUUGGUAUCACUCAAGUGGAUAUUAGUGCUUGAUCCUCGGUUCUUUUCCUUCUUACUAGGCGUUAUAAAUAGUCUUAAUUUGUAUCUCCCAAUAGUAAUAAUAAUAACGAUAAUGUAUCACUAAUGGUUCACCCCCUUCCCUGAUUCAGGGUUUAUACUGUUUUCUUUUCUUGGAAUUUAUACUAGAAUAUAUUCAUGUUUACUUUGGGUUA